Chiroxiphia lanceolata (lance-tailed manakin) is the source of this 465-nucleotide long non-coding RNA. RefSeq lists it as uncharacterized. Lineage: Eukaryota; Metazoa; Chordata; Aves; Passeriformes; Pipridae. The transcript has 3 exons. The record is from RefSeq and is a predicted model, not a curated record.
AUUACAUGUAUCUUUCUUCAAAAAAAAAAAAAAGAGAUGUUAAUUGUUCAUUCCCUUUUGACAUGUGCAGAUCUUUUCCAACAUUUCUGAAAUGUCAUUCUUGAAAAGAUCAAAAUUUUGUGGUGAAUAAUUUAAAAAAAUUUGUGUAAGCUGCAGGCCUAAUUACAUGUGGCUAUAGGAAUAUGAGAUGGAUGUCACCUGUAGCAGUAUGGAAAAGGCGAAGAUAGAAUGACUGGUGUUUUACAGAGAAAGAUUCAGGACACAUUGCACAAAUGGUGGACACUUUCAGGAAGAAAAGACUGCUCUGGGAAACUAAACACAGCAAGACCUCUUCUGGCUAAGGAAGUUCAUGAACUGCAAAUUAUUGUUAGGAUUUUCUGGGAACCACAAACUUUCCGUGUUCGUCUAUGCCUAUAUAGCAAAUAUAUAGGGAAAUAAGCAUCAGAUGUUCUUCAUUACUGGAUA